GACGAACGCUGGCGGCGUGCCUAAUACAUGCAAGUAGAACGCACAGUUUAUACCGUAGCUUGCUACACCAUAGACUGUGAGUUGCGAACGGGUGAGUAACGCGUAGGUAACCUGCCUGGUAGCGGGGGAUAACUAUUGGAAACGAUAGCUAAUACAGCAUAAUAUUGAUUAUUGCAUGAUAAUUGAUUGAAAGAUGCUAUUGCAUCACUACCAGAUGGACCUGCGUUGUAUUAGCUAGUAGGUGAGGUAACGGCUCACCUAGGCGACGAUACAUAGCCGACCUGAGAGGGUGAUCGGCCACACUGGGACUGGGACACGGCCCAGACUCCUACGGGAGGCAGCAGUAGGGAAUCUUCGGCAAUGGACGAAAGUCUGACCGAGCAACGCCGCGUGAGUGAAGAAGGUUUUCGGAUCGUAAAGCUCUGUUGUAAGAGAAGAACGGGUGUGAGAGUGGAAAGUUCACACUGUGACGGUAUCUUACCAGAAAGGGACGGCUAACUACGUG
RNAcentral lists this ribosomal RNA (505 nucleotides) under uncultured bacterium. RNAcentral's name for it is "partial 16S ribosomal RNA". It matches the Rfam family "Bacterial small subunit ribosomal RNA", at positions 28 to 507 of the family's 1533-position model. The record is from RNAcentral.